RNAcentral lists this ribosomal RNA (209 nucleotides) under uncultured bacterium. RNAcentral's name for it is "partial 16S ribosomal RNA". It matches the Rfam family "Bacterial small subunit ribosomal RNA", at positions 524 to 732 of the family's 1533-position model. The record is from RNAcentral.
UACGUAGGGUGCAAGCGUUGUCCGGAAUUAUUGGGCGUAAAGAGCUCGUAGGCGGUUUGUCGCGUCUGCUGUGAAAACGCGAGGCUCAACCUCGCGCCUGCAGUGGGUACGGGCAGACUAGAGUGCGGUAGGGGAGAUUGGAAUUCCUGGUGUAGCGGUGGAAUGCGCAGAUAUCAGGAGGAACACCGAUGGCGAAGGCAGAUCUCUGG